GGGUCCGUGGCGCAGCACGGAUUUAGCAUAAAUAAGUCUAAAUUAAAGGCGAUUGUUUAUGUUAAACGGAUAGCGCGUCAGCCUUCUAAGCUGAAUGUCCUGGGUUCAAAUCCCAGCGGACCCG
Molecule: transfer RNA, 124 nt
Filed under: Candidatus Bathyarchaeota archaeon
Lineage: Archaea; Thermoproteati; Candidatus Bathyarchaeota
Description: tRNA-Arg
Rfam family: tRNA
About the family: Transfer RNA (tRNA) molecules are approximately 80 nucleotides in length. Their secondary structure includes four short double-helical elements and three loops (D, anti-codon, and T loops).
Source: RNAcentral